This 120-nucleotide ribosomal RNA is filed under the name Baudoinia panamericana UAMH 10762. The record is from RNAcentral. Lineage: Eukaryota; Fungi; Ascomycota; Dothideomycetes; Mycosphaerellales; Teratosphaeriaceae.
ACAUAUGGCCACAAGCGCUAGAAUACAGACGAUCCCGUCCGCUCUCGUGUACUUAAGCUGGCGACUGGUGGAUUAGUAUUGCGGUCGGUGACGACGCGAGAAUACCCGCUGCUGUAUGUU